UGGGGAAUAUUGGGCAAUGGGCGAAAGCCUGACCCAGCAACGCCGCGUGAGUGAUGAAGGCCUUCGGGUUGUAAAACUCUUUGGACGGGGACGAAGAAAGUGACGGUACCUGUAGAACAAGCCACGGCUAACUACGUGCCAGCAGCCGCGGUAAUACGUAGGUGGCGAGCGUUAUCCGGAUUUACUGGGCGUAAAGGGCGUGUAGGCGGCUAGAUAAGUGUGAUGUUUAAAUCCAAGGCUUAACCUUGGGGUUCAUUACAAACUGUUUAGCUUGAGUGCUGGAGAGGAUAGUGGAAUUCCUAGUGUAGCGGUAAAAUGCGUAGAUAUUAGGAGGAACACCGGUGGCGAAGGCGGCUAUCUGGACAGUAACUGACGCUGAGGCGCGAAAGCGUGGGGAGCAAACAGG
This 406-nucleotide ribosomal RNA is filed under the name Verrucomicrobiota bacterium. RNAcentral's name for it is "Verrucomicrobia bacterium partial 16S ribosomal RNA". It matches the Rfam family "Bacterial small subunit ribosomal RNA", at positions 355 to 776 of the family's 1533-position model. Lineage: Bacteria; Pseudomonadati; Verrucomicrobiota. The record is from RNAcentral.